AUAGUAAUGUCAUGAAUGAUAAAAGUUACAAUAUAAGUAUCAGAGCCUUAUUUUUACAUUUACUGUUACAGAAUAUAUAUUAGGUUCUUAAGAAGGUUUUUCAGAAGAGGUCCUUGAGAAGGUUUUUUAGAAACCAAAAACUAUGCCUCUCUAAGCCCCCUAUUCUCCUUAUCAAUCUCUAAAAAGCCUCCUUUUGUAUAAGAAAAAUUAUAUAAGAAAACUCUCUUGAUCCCCUAAAAUUCUUCCCUUGUAUCUGAAAAAAUUAUCCUUUGUAAUAUUCUCAAGUAUUUGAAUGAGAAUCAGUGCUUGAAAUAUUAUUCAAAAUUUUGAAGAAUCAGUGAGCGAGUCGCAGCAGGAUUUUUCCUGGACCUCCCUGUAUAUUUUGGAGAUGCUUUCAGCUGACAGGUAUGGAAAUUUGUAUUAGAAAGUAUGCUUAUGUGCAAGUUCGUUGUCUGGUUCGCUUUAUAUCCUUCAUAAAGUUGGUGCUGAAAUUGAAAGAGCAUGUGCAGCUUAAAUUAACGGUUUAGGUUUUGAGCAAGUAUUUUCCCAAUAUGAAAACCUUUGCCAUGCUGAUGACUUUGAUCAUGAACUUAAUUUAGAAAAGGCAGAGGCUAUAGCUGUUGUUCGAGAGACCUUGGAAUCUAAUGUAUAGUUUACAGACUCUGUUCUUGCUCAGGUAAAUAACUUAUAUAUCUCUAUAGUGAGUAUAACAAAUUGCUACAGAAUAAGUACUGGUUUUUCUUUGGUGCUAUGACAUGUUUUUGAUGUUAUUGAAUGAUGGCAUGCAAUGUGCAACUAAUUGGGGCGAUGAAAACCAUAUGCAAUUAACUGAGUUGCGUAGUUUAUAAUUCAUGGAGAAGAGAUAUUAUUCCCUUUUUAUCAGUUAUGCAGAGAUUAUUUUAUCAUGUAAAGGUGUUGUUUACCACAAUACUCUUACAAAUAUUGACAUUAUGAUAAAUGAGCAAAUUGAUUAGGUUCUGGGUUUGAUUGGUCCAAAUAAAAGUAUCAUUUUUCUAUGAUGCAUUGUAGGAUAGAUCAGGGGACUUAGUUCAAGAUUUUGUGUGUUUAAGAGGGGGCAAUGGUUCUAGCAAA
Molecule: long non-coding RNA, 1092 nt
Organism: Quercus robur (English oak)
Lineage: Eukaryota; Viridiplantae; Streptophyta; Magnoliopsida; Fagales; Fagaceae
Exons: 3
Source: RefSeq, a predicted model, not a curated record